This 464-nucleotide ribosomal RNA is filed under the name uncultured bacterium. RNAcentral describes it as "partial 16S ribosomal RNA". It matches the Rfam family "Bacterial small subunit ribosomal RNA", at positions 339 to 795 of the family's 1533-position model. The record is from RNAcentral.
CUACGGGGUGCUGCAGUGGGGAAUAUUGGACAAUGGGGGCAACCCUGAUCCAGCCAUGCCGCGUGUGUGAAGAAGGCCUUAGGGUUGUAAAGCACUUUCAGAUGUGAGGAAAGGUGUGUGCUUAAUACGUACAUACUGUGACGUUAGCAUCAGAAGAAGGACCGGCUAACUCCGUGCCAGCAGCCGCGGUAAUACGGAGGGUCCGAGCGUUAAUCGGAAUUACUGGGCGUAAAGCGCGCGUAGGUGGUUUCGUCAGUCAGAUGUGAAAGCCCCGGGCUCAACCUGGGAAUUGCACCUGAUACUGCGGAACUAGAGUACGAUAGAGGGGAGUGGAAUUUCCGGUGUAGCGGUGAGAUGCGUAGAGAUCGGAAGGAACACCAGUGGCGAAGGCGACUCCCUGGAUUGAUACUGACACUGAGGUGCGAAAGCGUGGGGAGCAAACAGGAUUAGAUACCCCCGUAGUC